RNAcentral lists this ribosomal RNA (497 nucleotides) under uncultured bacterium. RNAcentral describes it as "partial 16S ribosomal RNA". It matches the Rfam family "Bacterial small subunit ribosomal RNA", at positions 28 to 507 of the family's 1533-position model. The record is from RNAcentral.
GAUGAACGCUGGCGGCGUGCCUAAUACAUGCAAGUCGAGCGAACAGACGAGGAGCUUGCUCCUCUGACGUUAGCGGCGGACGGGUGAGUAACACGUGGAUAACCUACCUAUAAGACUGGGAUAACUUCGGGAAACCGGAGCUAAUACCGGAUAAUAUAUUUAACCGCAUGGUUCAAUAGUGAAAGACGGUUUUGCUGUCACUUAUAGAUGGAUCCGCGCCGCAUUAGCUAGUUGGUAAGGUAACGGCUUACCAAGGCGACGAUGCGUAGCCGACCUGAGUGGGUGAUCGGCCACACUGGAACUGAGACACGGUCCAGACUCCUACGGGAUGCAGCAGUAGGGAAUCUUCCGCAAUGGGCGAAAGCCUGACGGAGCAACGCCGCGUGAGUGAUGAAGGUCUUCGGAUCGUAAAACUCUGUUAUUAGGGAAGAACAAAUGUGUAAGUAACUAUGCACGUCUUGACGGUACCUAAUCAGAAAGCCACGGCUAACUACGUG